RNAcentral lists this ribosomal RNA (355 nucleotides) under uncultured bacterium. RNAcentral describes it as "bacterial SSU rRNA". It matches the Rfam family "Bacterial small subunit ribosomal RNA", at positions 355 to 726 of the family's 1533-position model. The record is from RNAcentral.
UGAGGAAUAUUGCACAAUGGGCGCAAGCCUGAUGCAGCAACGCCGCGUGCGGGACGAAGGCCUUCGGGUCGUAAACCGCUUUUCUGGGGAAAGAGCAAGGACGGUACCUCAGGAAUAAGUCUCGGCUAACUACGUGCCAGCAGCCGCGGUAAAACUUAGGAGGCGAGCGUUAUCCGGAUUUACUGGGCGUAAAGCGCACGCAGGCGGCUCUGUGAGUCGGACGUGAAAGCUCCCGGCUUAACCGAGAGAGGCCGUUAGAUACUGCGGGGAGUGAAGUAGGGAGAGGAAUGCGGAAUUCCCGGUGGAGUGGUGGAAUGCGUAGAUAUCGGGAGGAAAACCUGUGGCGAAAGCGGCA